AACGAACGCUGGCAGCGUGUUUAAGACAUGCAAGUCGCACGGGAUAAGACAUGUAGUAAUACUUGUUUUAUUUAGUGGCGCACGGGUGAGUAACACGUGAAUUACAUGCCCUAUAGUGGGGAAUAGCACAGGGAAACUCGGAUUAAUACCCCAUGGUAUCGAAAGAUUAAAGGUGGCCGCAAGGCUGUCGCUAUAGGAUUGGUUCGCGCCCUAUCAGCUUGUUGGUGAGGUAACGGCUCACCAAGGCAAUGACGGGUACCUGGUCUGAGAGGACGAUCAGGCACACUGGAACUGAGACACGGUCCAGACACCUACGGGUGGCAGCAGUCGAGAAUAAUUCACAAUGGGGGCAACCCUGAUGGUGCAACGCCGCGUGGAGGAUGACGGUCUUCGGAUUGUAAACUCCUGUCAUCUGGGAGAAAGACCUGACGGUAAAUAGCCGGCAGGGUUGAUAGUACCAGAAGAGGAAGGGACGGCUAACUUCGUGCCAGCAGCCGCGGUAA
This 503-nucleotide ribosomal RNA is filed under the name uncultured bacterium. RNAcentral's name for it is "partial 16S ribosomal RNA". It matches the Rfam family "Bacterial small subunit ribosomal RNA", at positions 29 to 523 of the family's 1533-position model. The record is from RNAcentral.